CCCCCGCCUGUGGGGGCGGCGGGAGCGGGCCCGGGCGGGAAUCGCGGGCUUGGAGCAGGGACUGGGAGGGAGCGCUUCGCCGCGGGGGCCCGGAGACACAGGAACGCGUUUCCCAGAGAAACUAUUCGCAGCCUAUUCUGAGUUGGAAGGGACCCACAAGGAUCAUCGACUCCAGCUCUUAAGUAAAUGUCCCAUAUGGGGAUGCACCCACCACCUUGGUGUUACCAGCUUCAUGUUCUAACCAACUGUAACUCCGGAAAAUUAACAAAUCUAACUACACUUAUCGGUGCGUUCUGUCGAUGAAACCACACAUCACCACGAAGACAUCGCAACAUCCCUGCUGUAUGCUGCUCUGCUUGAGCAUUUUGAAGCCAUAUUUCCUGGUCUGGUGGAAAUAUUUCUAGUGGAGAUAUUUAAGUGCAAGCUCUGCCAUUUCACAAGCAGGAUCAAAAGUAAGAUCAGGAGACACCUGGCUCAAACCUGUGAAACUAAUAUGGCAUGUCAAAUUUCAGGCUGCCCUAAAAUGGACCAAGGUAAAAAUUAGUUAUAUAGCAUUGGAGAUGAAAAGAAUGAGAACAAAGAAAAUCUUGCAAAAAAUUACUCUCUUGUUACCUGUGUAUCAGAUACCUUAAAAUAAAAGUCCUUGCUCUUGUCACAUGAGCUCAAGCAUAAUCCUCAUGCAUCUCACUCCUGUGAAAUGAACACCUGGUUUGGAGAAGUAGCAGCUUAUUUUCAACUUGAGGAACCUUGCAGUGCUGACUUCUCUUUCCUUGGAAGAGAAGGGACAGAUAAACCCAGUCUAUGCCUCUCAACAUCUGUCAUAUUUCCAGUAUUAGAACCCAGACAUUUGCUGGGGAAAUUAAAAGCCCCUAAGGCUCAAUCAAGGCGUAAACAUCAUAGAAAAAUCAGUUGAAAACUGGAUCUAAAGGCUCAACUCACCUUAUAGAAGAUGCUUAUGCUUCAGAAGCUGGGUUCUGAGAAAAAGCAUCAUUUCUUCAUGUGUGGAAUGUAGCACUAGAGCCACAAGAUGCUGAGGAAACCCAUAUAACAAAUCAUGUGGAUCAUGGCUUUAAAUGUGCUUAUUGUCACAUAACUGAGUAGAUCUUAAUGGAAAAUGAUUGAAAAUCACACAUGUGGCCUACCAGUGCUCCAUCUGUGAAAGUGCUUUUAUAUCACUUUAUAAAGUGCCUGGAAAGUGCACAGAAACAGCCAUGAGAGGAAAUGUCAUCUCAGUGCGCAUCAUCUGAAACUGAGCCGAUAAGCAGUCUUCAUAUAGCCUGCUUGGCAUUUGCAGGAUAUGGUUAUGUGCCCACACAGUGAUUUACCAGUUGAACUACUGCUUUGGUUCUGAUUGCUCAGUAUGGCCAAAUGAAAGAAGAGGUGAUUGUGAAAUAAGGUGAUGUCUCAUGGGUGUGCCCUGGAGUUCGUGGCAGUGGUCAGAUUAACAUAUUUGCUCUGGUUUUAAGCUACUGUAACAAACCAUGGCUUUUAAUACAACUAAGGAAUGGAUCAAGGUCUGCAAGCAUCUGUGCAAGCACAGACCCUUCAGAGUUACUGGCUUCAGCUCCUUCAUAACAUCCUUACAUGUGUUAGUGGUGUUUUGACCGAACCAUGCUGGUGCACACCGAAUUGGAGAGUCAGGUUAAAAAAAAACCCAAAGAACACAUGAACAAACAAAAUCCAACUCAAAUAAAUGACUUUUCUUGAGAAGCUUUAUUUUGUGUGUUUCACAAACAUAGCAGAGAAUGUGGAGCAAGGUUUAUUUUCUCUACAACAUUGUCUUUCAUCACCUGAAAGUUUCAUAUCUCAGGUUUUUAAGUCUUUCCAUCACUGAUGGUAUAAUAAAGUAUUGGUAUAAUGUAUUUUGGGUUUCUUUUUGAAUUAGUUUACUUCACUUAUUUCUUAAAUGGCAAUCCAAAGAAGAAUUCAAGGAGCAUAUGGUAAAUUACAGAACUGCUACCACUCCUUUUUAUUCAUUUUGGGAUCAGGUAUUCAAAAUCAGACAUCAAUUGAGUGGACGUCACAAAUCCAUCACAAAUCCACAAAUGAAAGAGAUUAAGAGAAGAACAAAGCCUGAAGAUAAUCCUGUGUGUUUCAACACAAAAAGAACUUGAAAGAAGGAGUCAAGCUAAUUUAAAUGCAGUAUGUACAGUAGGUAUGAUCUGUAUUAUAGCAAAACUUGCUGUUUUGUUUCUUAAUUGCAGAAUAUUUGGUAAUCUAGCAUAUCUAUUUAUUUGCUUAUUUAUUUGCAUAUUUUUGCAAUAAAGUUACUCUUAGUAUGAACAAAAAUAAAAAUAGCUGCCACCUACUUGGUUUGUGAUAGUACCAGUCUUUGGAAUAAAUUAAGUAUAUGCUAAUCAAAAGGUGCAGCUAAGGUUUUCUGCUGUAGUUUGUUACAGGCAAUAACCAAGUACAGCUACUGAAAUAGGCUCUUUCAGGAGCCAAGAGAAAUGCUGUGAUACUUCUCGUAAUUCUGCAAGUUAACUAGGUGACAAAACAGCUUCCUUUGGGUCAUGGCUGCACUUUUAAGAGGAAUAUUAACUGAAGCACCAAUUUUAUCAGUUAGUGGAAAAUUCUACUUAUCUGCACUUAUAAGAGUUAACACCAAGACUCUGUCUUACCUCAAGUGCAUCCUUUCUUCCAAAGAGAUUUUGAGAAGGCAUUUGAUAUGUUCCUGUUAUUCAGAAAAGAUCUCUUUUUCCUUGAUAAAGAAGAUAAUAAUCUCUAGCAGCCCUCUGUCCAUGAGUUGACAUUACAAAAUAUUCUGUUAGCUUUUCUAAUAUUUAGGUAGAUAAGCUUGAGUACAUAUCUUUCUCUAAGUUUCUUCUAAGUAUGUACAUUUGGCUUGGGAUGUUUUCUCCUUUAGUUGUUGUUUAUGGCCAUACAUGCCUGCUACAUUGUCAGAAAACAUUUUUACAAUAGUUUAACUAGAGAGGUCACUUUCUUACUUUCACAGUUGUGUUAUCAUAAAUUAAUUCAAACCAUCAAAGCUUUUUCCCCAAAGGCUUCUUUAUCCCACUGUUUUCUAGGACUUAAAUAAUUGUCUCUACUGAAUCUGGCUUUCCUCAUUUGAAGUUGUUACUGCUCACAUGGAAAGAAAUAAAUAUAUGUUUUAGUAGCUAUCUGAAAUUGGUAUAAUAAAAAGAAAACAAAAAUGGAGUUUGGGUUCAGCUAGUCAAAGGCCUAAUUGCUUGAAGUGAGCUAGAGCAUUUUUGUUAGUAAGUAGGGAGCAGACCAAUGUACUGAUGAUGUGCCUUGCACAUAGGCAUCUAUCUUCUGGGCUUUUUUAAAAGCAAGUAGUCAGUUAACAAAACUUACCUGUGUUUUAAGUGGCAGAAGUAUAAUGUUAGGCACUUUAAAUUGUUACAUCAUUACAACAGUUAAUUGUGGAGUUACAAUGGAGUAUAACAAUCCAAAUUUUAUCUGAGAUUAUGUUUGAAAUGUGACAUCUGCUGUAUGCACUACAACUCUGUUUUGAAGGAAAAAUGAGCUUUUAUGGACUGGGUCUCUGGAGCUCUCCCUGGAAGAGAGAGAUUAAGAGCUUGAACUUUUCAUACCUACUUCUGACUCAAAUUUUGCUUGACUUUUGUACAGCAAAACAAACUUAAUGUCAACACAGUUCAUUUACUACAGUCCCCCUGAGGUGCAAACUCAUAAACUGGCAUUGGCCAUCGUCCCAGCUUACAACUGUCCCCUAAUUCUUUCCACUAAAGGCCCUGUCCCAACAGCAGAACAGGAUCUGUUGGGAAUCACAGCCAGCUCAGUGGUGUGUCCUGCUGCACAGAUGGAAUAGCUGAUGGCAGAAGGGUGUAAGGAUAACCCUGCUGUGCUGACUGUGACUGAGAGCAUGGGCUGUGCCCUGCACAGAGCUCCAGAGUGCCAGAACAAGCUGCCCCAUUUUCUCUUUGUCCCACAAUUGCCUCUCGUUAUGCCCAGAUUAACAGAUGCACAUGGGAAGUAUAUUUUAGAGCCUGUGGAUACUGCAAAACUUCAAGGAAUUCCUUUAAACUGAGAAAUAUCUGCUGUCAGGAGGUUACCAGCAAAGUGUUGGUAGCAGGACCUGGAAAUCCAGCUGUGUUCCUGGCCGUGCUGUGGCACAUUUGUUUGCUUUCCUCCAGGAGAGGGCAGCAGAUGAACAACAUCAGGGGCUGGUUUUCACUUUUCAAACCCUCUUCCAGUGACCCCCUCUGCCUGUGAAUCCAGCAGGAGCUCCAUACCAAUGGGAGAAUUUAAAAUUAUAAUUCCUGCCUGUUUGUUACAAAGAUAGCUGGAAUGUACGAAUCGGAAGUCUUCAUUCUGUUCAGUAUUAAGCAGUAAAAUUUAUUCAGUAAAAUCUAUCUCAAGGUUUUAGAAAGGACAGUUCAAUAUUGAUACUUAAGAUUUUGUGACUAUGGCAGUAGGUGUGUAUAUAUUUUAAAGGAUAAAAUAACCAAGCAACCCAACCCAUUAUUAAUGUCACCUAAGUCUUACUUAACAUCUUUCAUUUUCCAUCAGGUUGCAUAUUACAAUUCAAAAUAAUAGCCUUUUUUCUCCCAUCAGAAAAUAAAACUAAGAAUACACUAAA
Non-coding RNA from Lonchura striata (white-rumped munia), 4564 nucleotides. NCBI's taxonomy places the organism in Eukaryota, Metazoa, Chordata, Aves, Passeriformes, Estrildidae. The record is from RefSeq and is a predicted model, not a curated record.